RNAcentral lists this ribosomal RNA (498 nucleotides) under uncultured bacterium. RNAcentral's name for it is "partial 16S ribosomal RNA". It matches the Rfam family "Bacterial small subunit ribosomal RNA", at positions 29 to 523 of the family's 1533-position model. The record is from RNAcentral.
AUUGAACGCUGGCGGCAUGCCUUACACAUGCAAGUCGAACGGUAACGCGGGGCAACCUGGCGACGAGUGGCGAACGGGUGAGUAAUGCAUCGGAACGUGCCCAGUAGUGGGGGAUAGCCCGGCGAAAGCCGGAUUAAUACCGCAUACGACCUACGGGUGAAAGGGGGGGAUCGCAAGACCUCUCGCUAUUGGAGCGGCCGAUGUCAGAUUAGCUAGGUGGUGGGGUAAGGGCCUACCAAGGCGACGAUCUGUAGCUGGUCUGAGAGGACGACCAGCCACACUGGGACUGAGACACGGCCCAGACUCCUACGGGAGGCAGCAGUGGGGAAUUUUGGACAAUGGGCGAAAGCCUGAUCCAGCCAUGCCGCGUGCGGGAAGAAGGCCUUCGGGUUGUAAACCGCUUUUGUCAGGGAAGAAAUCUUCUGAGUUAAUACAGGGGGCUAAUGACGGUACCGUAAGAAUAAGCACCGGCUAACUACGUGCCAGCCGCCGCAGUAA